RNAcentral lists this long non-coding RNA (234 nucleotides) under Physcomitrium patens. RNAcentral describes it as "long non-coding RNA (PPAT_LNC002025)". Lineage: Eukaryota; Viridiplantae; Streptophyta; Bryopsida; Funariales; Funariaceae. The record is from RNAcentral.
UUUUGCUCGCUCAAGAGAUGCUGCAAUGGUAGCUGAUUGGGCCUCCUUUACAAACAUCUUCAAUUCUGGUGGGUGUAAUCCAUUAACCAAUAUGGACAACACAAACAAUUCCGGCAUUUGGUUAUUUGGCCAUUUCCGAAGUAUAUCUGCUACACGACCAUAAUAUGACUGUAUCGCUUCCCUUGGUAUCAUUCUACUGUUCAUUAAUCUUUCUCGAAGACGUUCUUCAAAACC